GCCCGGCUAGCUCAGUCGGCAGACCAUGAGACUCCCAAUCUCAGGGCCGUAGGUUCGAGCCCCACAUUGGGCG
Molecule: non-coding RNA, 73 nt
Organism: Arvicola amphibius (Eurasian water vole)
Lineage: Eukaryota; Metazoa; Chordata; Mammalia; Rodentia; Cricetidae
Source: the annotation of a RefSeq genome assembly